This 253-nucleotide ribosomal RNA is filed under the name uncultured bacterium. RNAcentral's name for it is "partial 16S ribosomal RNA". It matches the Rfam family "Bacterial small subunit ribosomal RNA", at positions 524 to 776 of the family's 1533-position model. The record is from RNAcentral.
UACAGAGGUCCCAAGCGUUGUUCGGAUUCAUUGGGCGUAAAGGGUGCGUAGGCGGCGCGGUAAGUCGGGUGUGAAAUCUCGGGGCUUAACUCCGAAACUGCAUUCGAUACUGCCGUGCUUGAGGACUGGAGAGGAGACUGGAAUUUACGGUGUAGCGGUGAAAUGCGUAGAUAUCGUAAGGAAGACCAGUGGCGAAGGCGGGUCUCUGGACAGUUCCUGACGCUGAGGCACGAAGGCCAGGGAAGCAAACGGG